RNAcentral lists this ribosomal RNA (465 nucleotides) under uncultured bacterium. Its description in RNAcentral is "partial 16S ribosomal RNA". It matches the Rfam family "Bacterial small subunit ribosomal RNA", at positions 28 to 507 of the family's 1533-position model. The record is from RNAcentral.
GACGAACGCUGGCGGCGUGCUUAACACAUGCAAGUCGAACGGAAAGGCCCUGCUUGCAGGGUACUCGAGUGGCGAACGGGUGAGUAACACGUGGGUGAUCUGCCCUGCACUUCGGGAUAAGCCUGGGAAACUGGGUCUAAUACCGGAUAGGAGCCAUUUUUAGGGUGAUGGUUGGAAAGUUUUUUCGGUGUAGAAUGAGCUCGCGGCCUAUCAGCUUGUUGGUGGGGUAAUGGCCUACCAAGGCGGCGACGGGUAGCCGGCCUGAGAGGGUGGACGGCCACAUUGGGACUGAGAUACGGCCCAGACUCCUACGGGAGGCAGCGGUGGGGAAUAUUGCACAAUGGGCGCAAGCCUGAUGCAGCGACGCCGCGUGGGGGAUGACGGCCUUCGGGUUGUAAACUCCUUUCGCUAGGGACGAAGCUUUUUGUGACGGUACCUAGAUAAGAAGCACCGGCUAACUACGUG